RNAcentral lists this ribosomal RNA (474 nucleotides) under uncultured bacterium. RNAcentral describes it as "bacterial SSU rRNA". It matches the Rfam family "Bacterial small subunit ribosomal RNA", at positions 335 to 797 of the family's 1533-position model. The record is from RNAcentral.
ACUCCUACGGGAGGCAGCAGUGGGGAAUAUUGCACAAUGGGCGCAAGCCUGAUGCAGCCAUGCCGCGUGUGUGAAGAAGGCCUUCGGGUUGUAAAGCACUUUCAGUCGUGAGGAAGGUAGUGUAGUUAAUAGCUGCAUUAUUUGUACGUUAGCGACAGAAGAAGCACCGGCUAACUCCGUGCCAGCAGCCGCGGUAAUACGGAGGGUGCGAGCGUUAAUCGGAAUUACUGGGCGUAAAGCGCAUGCAGGCGGCCUGUUAAGUCAGAUGUGAAAGCCCGGGGCUUAACCUCGGAAUUGCAUUUGAAACUGGCAGGCUAGAGUCUUGUAGAGGGGGGUAGAAUUUCAGGUGUAGCGGUGAAAUGCGUAGAGAUCUGAAGGAAUACCAGUGGCGAAGGCGGCCCCCUGGACAAAGACUGACGCUCAGAUGCGAAAGCGUGGGGAGCAAACAGGAUUAGAUACCCUGGUAGGAUACCG